CCCUUAGAUGUUCUGAGCCGCACGCGCGCUACACUGACGAUGGCAACGAGUUUUUCCUUCGCCGAAAGGUGUGGGUAAUCUUUUGAAACAUCGUCGUGCUGGGGAUAGAUCAUUGCAAUUUUUGAUCUUGAACGAGGAAUUCCUAGUAAGCGCGAGUCAUCAGCUCGCGUUGAUUACGUCCCUGCCCUUUGUACACACCGCCCGUCGCUACUACCGAUUGAAUGGUUUAGUGAGGACUCCUGAUUGGCGCCGCCGCCCCGGCAACGGAGCAGCGGACUGCCGAAAAGUUGUUCAAACUUGAUCAUUUAGAGGAAGUAAAAGUCGUAACA
Molecule: ribosomal RNA, 329 nt
Filed under: uncultured eukaryote
Lineage: Eukaryota
Description: partial 18S ribosomal RNA
Rfam family: Eukaryotic small subunit ribosomal RNA
Source: RNAcentral